AAAAAGGGCGUGUACCGUGACUGGUACAGGGAAGGGGUGGGAAACUGCUUCCUCUCUGCGGAAUCUAUAUCAAGAGAUUUCGGGCGCACAAUUUUUGUGCACUCGGGCUGCCGAUGAUCGUGUAUCUUGGCGCCCCU
This is a small nuclear RNA of Anguilla rostrata (American eel), 137 nucleotides long. RefSeq annotates it as U11 spliceosomal RNA. NCBI's taxonomy places the organism in Eukaryota, Metazoa, Chordata, Actinopteri, Anguilliformes, Anguillidae. The record is from RefSeq and is a predicted model, not a curated record. The transcript has a single exon.